AUUGAACGCUGGCGGCAGGCUUAAAACAUGCAAGUCGAGCGAGUGGCGGACGGGUGAGUAUUGUCUGGGAAACUGCCUGAUGGAGGGGGAUCACUAAUGGAAACGGUAGCUAAUACCGCAUAACAUAAGAUGUGCCCAGAUGGGAUUAGCUAGUAGGUGGGGUACUGGCUCACCUAGGAGACGAUCCCUAGCUGGUCUGAGGGGAUGACCAGCCACACUGGAACUGAGACACGGCCCAGACUCCUACGGGAGGCAGCAGUGGGGUAUAUUGCACAAUGGGCGCAAGCCUGAUGCAGCCAUGCCGCGUGUGUGAAGAAGGCCUUCGGGUUGUAAAGCACUUUCAGCGAGGAGGCGUUACUCGCAGAAGAAGCACCGGCUAACUCCGUGCCAGCCGCCGCGGUAAUAC
This 406-nucleotide ribosomal RNA is filed under the name uncultured bacterium. RNAcentral describes it as "partial 16S ribosomal RNA". It matches the Rfam family "Bacterial small subunit ribosomal RNA", at positions 30 to 526 of the family's 1533-position model. The record is from RNAcentral.